CCGACUUUAGCUCAGUUGGAAGAGCAUCAGACUGUAAUCGGUAAAGUCGCAAAGUACCUGAGGGUCACUGGUUUGAUCCCAGUAAGUUGGA
Mycena crocata is the source of this 91-nucleotide non-coding RNA. The record is from the annotation of a GenBank genome assembly. Lineage: Eukaryota; Fungi; Basidiomycota; Agaricomycetes; Agaricales; Mycenaceae.